RNAcentral lists this signal recognition particle RNA (97 nucleotides) under Buchnera aphidicola (Schlechtendalia chinensis). RNAcentral describes it as "Bacterial small signal recognition particle RNA". It matches the Rfam family "Bacterial small signal recognition particle RNA". From Rfam's summary of the family: The signal recognition particle (SRP) is a universally conserved ribonucleoprotein involved in the co-translational targeting of proteins to membranes. Archaeal SRP consists of a 7S RNA and homologues of the eukaryotic SRP19 and SRP54 proteins. In most bacteria, the SRP consists of a 4.5S RNA and the Ffh protein (a homologue of the eukaryotic SRP54 protein). Lineage: Bacteria; Pseudomonadati; Pseudomonadota; Gammaproteobacteria; Enterobacterales; Erwiniaceae. RNAcentral also lists the same sequence under 1 other name. The record is from Rfam by way of RNAcentral.
UGUUAGUGUUUUAAUGCUGUAAUCUUAAAAAACUGGUCAGGAUCGGAAGAUAGCAGCCAUAUUAAGUAAUUCAGGUAUUAUAAUUUUACUAACAGAG